UUGACCUCAAAUCGAGUAGGAUUACCCGCUGAACUUAAGCAUAUCAAUAAGCGGAGGAAAAGAAACUAACAAGGAUUCCCCUAGUAACGGCGAGUGAAGAGGGAAAAGCUCAAAUUUUGAAUCUGGCGUCUUUGGCGUCCGAGUUGUAAUCUAGAGAAGUGUUUUCCGUGGCGGACCGUGCACAAGUCUCCUGGAAUGGAGCGUCAUAGAGGGUGAGAAUCCCGUGUAUGGCAUGGACUACCGUUACUCUGUGAUACACUCUCAACGAGUCGAGUUGUUUGGGAAUGCAGCUCUAAAUGGGUGGUAAAUGCCAUCUAAAGCUAAAUAUUGGCGAGAGACCGAUAGCGAACAAGUACCGUGAGGGAAAGAUGAAAAGCACUUUGGAAAGAGAGUGAAACAGUACGUGAA
This 408-nucleotide ribosomal RNA is filed under the name uncultured Sebacinaceae. RNAcentral describes it as "eukaryotic LSU rRNA". It matches the Rfam family "Eukaryotic large subunit ribosomal RNA", at positions 1 to 403 of the family's 3401-position model. Lineage: Eukaryota; Fungi; Basidiomycota; Agaricomycetes; Sebacinales; Sebacinaceae. The record is from RNAcentral.